RNAcentral lists this transfer RNA (85 nucleotides) under Patescibacteria group bacterium. RNAcentral describes it as "tRNA-Leu". It matches the Rfam family "tRNA". From Rfam's summary of the family: Transfer RNA (tRNA) molecules are approximately 80 nucleotides in length. Their secondary structure includes four short double-helical elements and three loops (D, anti-codon, and T loops). Further hydrogen bonds mediate the characteristic L-shaped molecular structure. tRNAs have two regions of fundamental functional importance: the anti-codon, which is responsible for specific mRNA codon recognition, and the 3' end, to which the tRNAs corresponding amino acid is attached (by aminoacyl-tRNA synthetases). tRNAs cope with the degeneracy of the genetic code in two manners: having more than one tRNA (with a specific anti-codon) for a particular amino acid; and 'wobble' base-pairing, i.e. permitting non-standard base-pairing at the 3rd anti-codon position. The record is from RNAcentral.
GGGGAUGUGUUGGAAUUUGGUAUACAAGAUGGUCUCAAAAACCAUUGGGCUUUAGCCCGUGAGGGUUCGAUCCCCUCCAUCCCCA